Homo sapiens (human) is the source of this 1553-nucleotide long non-coding RNA. Ensembl annotates it as long intergenic non-protein coding RNA 343. Lineage: Eukaryota; Metazoa; Chordata; Mammalia; Primates; Hominidae. The record is from Ensembl.
GAGGCUAUGGGAAAGAAACCUGGAAAGGUAGGGAGGUAUGGAUAUGGACAAGCUAUGCCAAGGAGCAGGGCUUUGUCAUGGAGAGUGACUAGGUGCUUUUACAUAGGAAAGUCACCUGAUAAUAUUAAAACCUGUGAAAUAUCACUCUGGUGGAAGUGUGAAUGAAUUUGAAAGGGGUGUAACACUGUUCUACUUUGUUUACUCCUCAGUACCCUUGGCUGUGUACAUUUGAGUAAAGAGAGCACUAUAAAAUCAAAAACCAAUGAAAUGGUUUCCAGAACACAGAACUAUUAAGCUUAAGAAAAGGACAGAAGGAACUGAAGAGAGAGGAACUGUUUUGGAGCAUCACACUUCCACCUCAGAAGAAAUAAGGAAGGAAGGAGGAGGGUGUUCCCACGGCUCUUCAACCAGGCCGGCUCUUCAGCCUACAUCCCCAUCUCAUCAAGUAAAAGGGAUUUUUCAACUGGACCAACCAGAUGGUUUAACAGUGCACUCCCACACCAUUCAACUACGCAAGGGAGAUACACUUAACAUAUGCAGUCGUAUAACACCUACUAACAUUUUCAAACAUUAAACCUUUAAAAAAGAGUUCUAAAGAAAUAGAAGCUUGAAGUAUCAUCUCUCAAGUAUAUAGACACUACUUCAUGGUGUGGUAAUAUAUGCAUAUAGAAGCUAGUAAACACCUCCAGGAGAUGCAAAAGGAAUUAGAACUGCCACAAGGUGCAAGCAAAACCUUGAGUUCUGUUUUUCCUCUUCUAAUCCUUCACCCAUCUGAGCUAAAGUCUAGACCUAAGGAGGCUACUAAUUCAGGGAUCGAGUAAUCUGCCAAGCAAGAGUUUAUUCAAGCACAGUUUGAAAUAAAGGUUUCAAAUGCAUAGCCUGUCGAUACUUUGGAAGGAUUCUCAUCAUAACGAGUAUGCAAUUUGCUAUAAAGAAGAAUGCCCAUUACGGACUAAAUGUUUAUGUCCUCCUAAAAUUCAUAUGUUGAAGGCCUAACUCUCAAUGUGAUGAUUAUGUGGAGAUGGUGCCUUUGGGAGGAUAUGGGAGGACACCUGAGACGGCAGGCCAGAAGUCACUCAGUAGGAGAAACAUCCGUUAGAAGUAAUAAUGUGGGAUUGCUGAAGUAAAGACUAUAGGAAGAAAAAAGUGUCUGUGUGUAGGAAACGGAAAGGGAGAGAAAAAUACACUGAGAUGGUAAAGUAAGGAAGUGGAAGAUCAGCAGAAUGUGCAGAUGCCAAGCCAUCCAAGAAAAUCAUCUCUUGUGAUUGUUGCGAAGUCAACUAGCUAAUGUGACUCACUGCUAGGCUGUUGGAUCUGAGACUUAUGUGGGAUAAUUUAGAAACUUGCUAGUGUCUUAAGAUCAAUUACUCACCAAUGAGAGUGGCAUUGAACUGUGAAUGUUCCUCCUAGAUUUUCCAUGAAGACUAAUGGUUUUGUCUUGUCUUGAAUUUGUUUUAAUUACAAUUUGUAUACAUCCUGUUCCACCCUGAAAUUUUUAUUUUCCAAAUGGUUUUUCAUUUAAAGAGACUAAAUAAAGGUUCUGACUGAGUUGU